Molecule: ribosomal RNA, 392 nt
Filed under: uncultured bacterium
Lineage: Bacteria
Description: bacterial SSU rRNA
Rfam family: Bacterial small subunit ribosomal RNA
Source: RNAcentral
GGCGCACGGGUGCGUAACGCGUGGGAAUCUGCCCUUGGGUUCGGAAUAACCGUUAGAAAUGACGGCUAAUACCGGAUGAUGACGUAAGUCCAAAGAUUUAUCGCCCGAGGAUGAGCCCGCGUAGGAUUAGCUAGUUGGUGGGGUAAAGGCCUACCAAGGCGACGAUCCUUAGCUGGUCUGAGAGGAUGAUCAGCCACACUGGGACUGAGACACGGCCCAGACUCCUACGGGAGGCAGCAGUGGGGAAUAUUGGACAAUGGGCGCAAGCCUGAUCCAGCCAUGCCGCGUGAGUGAUGAAGGCCUUAGGGUUGUAAAGCUCUUUUAUCCGGGACGAUAAUGACGGUACCGGAGGAAUAAGCCCCGGCUAACUUCGUGCCAGCAGCCGCGGUAAU